Molecule: ribosomal RNA, 138 nt
Filed under: uncultured bacterium
Lineage: Bacteria
Description: partial 16S ribosomal RNA
Rfam family: Bacterial small subunit ribosomal RNA
Source: RNAcentral
UGAGGAAUUUUCCGCAAUGGGCGCAAGCCUGACGGAGCAAUACCGCGUGGAGGAGGAAGGCCCGUGGGUCGUAAACUCCUUUUCUCAGAGAAGAACACAAUGACGGUAUCUGAGGAAUAAGCAUCGGCUAACUCCGUG